Molecule: small nucleolar RNA, 92 nt
Filed under: Aspergillus rambellii
Lineage: Eukaryota; Fungi; Ascomycota; Eurotiomycetes; Eurotiales; Aspergillaceae
Description: A. fumigatus snoRNA Afu_191
Rfam family: A. fumigatus snoRNA Afu_191
Source: Rfam by way of RNAcentral
CGUCAAUGAUGAAUCCAUUAAGAAUUCUGCAAUUCCGACGAUCUCCAGACUUUGUGAGAUUGCAUGUUGACCCUUCUACACUUGAUCUGAUU